This 318-nucleotide long non-coding RNA is filed under the name Salmo salar (Atlantic salmon). RNAcentral's name for it is "lncRNA (ENSSSAG00000101596.1)". Lineage: Eukaryota; Metazoa; Chordata; Actinopteri; Salmoniformes; Salmonidae. The record is from RNAcentral.
GGUUUGAGGUGUGGGAUGAGAACACAAGGUUGGGGUUUGAGGUGAGGGAUGAGAGCACAAGGUUGGGGUUUGAGGUGAGGGAUGAGAGCACAAGGUUGGGGUUUGAUGUGUGGGAUGAGAACACGAGGUUGGGUUUGAGGUGUGGGAUGAGAGCAGAAGGUUGGGGUUUGAGGUGUGGGAUGAGAGCAGAAGGUUGGGGUUUGAGGUGUGGGAUGAGAGCAGAAGGUUGGGGUUUGAGGUGUGGGAUGAGCGCAGAAGGUUGGGGUUUGAUGUGUGGGAUGAGAACACAAGGUUGGGGUUUGAGGUGUGGGAUGAGAG